CGAAUUACUGGCGUAAGCCCCGCGGCGGUUGUCAGUAGGAAAGAAUCCCCGCCUCACCUGGGACUUCAUCGAAGUGGCUGCUAGAGUCUGUAGAGGGGGUAUAAUUCCAUGGUGAGCGAUAAAUGCGUAGAGAUCUGGACGAAUACCGGUGAGGAAGGCGGCCCCCUGGACAAAGACUGACGCUCAGGUGAGAAAGCGUGGGGAGCAAGCAGGAUUAGAUACCUUGGUAGUCCACGCCGUAAACGAUGUCGACUUGGAGGUUGUGCCCUUCAGGCGUGGCUUCCGGAGCUAACGCGUUAAGUCGACCGCCUGGGGAGUACGGCCGCAAGGUUAAAACUCAAAUGAAUUGACGGGGGCCCGCACAAGCGGUGGAGCAUGUGGUUUAAUUAGAUGCAACGAGAAGAACCUUACGUACUCUUCACAUCCAGAGAACUUAGCAGAGAUGCUUUGGUCCCUUCGGGAACUAUGAGACAGGUGCUGCAUGGCUGUCGUCAGCUCGUGUUGUGAAAUGUUGGGUUAAGUCCCGCAACGAGCGCAACCCUUAUCCUUUGUUGCCAGCGGUCCGGCCGGGCACUCAAAGGAGACUGCCGGUGAUAAACCGGAGGAAGGUGGGGAUGACGUCAAGUCAUCAUGGCCCUUACGAGUAGGGCUACACACGUGCUACAAUGGCGCAUACAAAGAGAAGCGACCUCGCGAGAGCAAGCGGACCUCAUAAACCGCGUCGUAGUCCGGAUUGGAGUCUGCAACUCGACUCCAUGAAGUCGGAAUCGCUGG
RNAcentral lists this ribosomal RNA (774 nucleotides) under Enterobacter sp. RNAcentral's name for it is "bacterial SSU rRNA". It matches the Rfam family "Bacterial small subunit ribosomal RNA", at positions 547 to 1338 of the family's 1533-position model. The record is from RNAcentral. Lineage: Bacteria; Pseudomonadati; Pseudomonadota; Gammaproteobacteria; Enterobacterales; Enterobacteriaceae.